CCUGCCUAGGAGCACGCCUGCCCCAGCACCCGGGCCUGAACGCAGCGAGAGCUCCAGAGCCUGCGAGUCCCAGAGGACCCCGUAUCUGACCAGUUUCCAACUCAUCUUCACUUGGGAGUUGGCUGUGAAGAGACAGGCAAGUCUCUUCAUCAAGCAGGAGGAAAACAUACAGCGGGAAGGAAAUAUGAAACGACCUCAUUUCUAGUUUAACCCUUUGGAUCUCCUUUGUACCACGUCUCCUUGGAUGAGAAGAGUCUCCCUCUCAUCAGCACAUUAAGGAAUCUACCAUACAACUUCAGUCUUCAGUAUUGCCAAAGACUAGUAACCUAUGCUCCAAGAGUUAAUGACUAUAAGUGCAUCACUGAAGCCUGUAGAAAAAGGCCCUGAUGCCUCCUGCCCUAAUAAUUUGGCUAAAAAUGUGAGAUAGCACCUGUGUUCUCCUGCAAAUAUGUGUAAGACCAAUUGAUGACUAUGUGCUUCAAGAAGCUUCUUUGUACCAUGUCUCCCUAGAUAGG
This 515-nucleotide long non-coding RNA is filed under the name Homo sapiens (human). RNAcentral describes it as "HSALNT0197053". Lineage: Eukaryota; Metazoa; Chordata; Mammalia; Primates; Hominidae. The record is from RNAcentral.